AAUUUGGACCAAGGGGAGAAACUCAGCCACACAUACCGCGCGUAUGAGAAAGACGCUCGGGUUGUGAAAAACACUUGGCGGAGAGGAAAAAGUAUCCCCUAUUACGCGAGACUCCUGACGGUAUCUGCAGAGUAAGCACCGGCGCACUACACGCCCGCAGCCGCGGUAAUACGUAGGGUGCAAGCGUUAAUCGGAAUUACUGGGCGUAAAGCGUGUGUAGGCGGUUCGGAAAGAAAGAUGUGAAAUCCCAGGGCUCAACCUUGGAACUGCAUUUUUAACUGCCGAGCUAGAGUAUGUCAGAGGGGGGUAGGAUUCCACGUGUAGCAGUGAAAUGCGUAGAUAUGUGGAGGAAUACCGAUGGCGAAGGCAGCCCCCUGGGAUAAUACUGACGCUCAGACACGAAAGCGUGGGGAGCAAACAGG
RNAcentral lists this ribosomal RNA (422 nucleotides) under uncultured bacterium. Its description in RNAcentral is "partial 16S ribosomal RNA". It matches the Rfam family "Bacterial small subunit ribosomal RNA", at positions 360 to 776 of the family's 1533-position model. The record is from RNAcentral.